AGCGUGAGCCCUGCCAGUCUUCGGGCCUCGGCCUGCGCACGGCCCUGGUGCCGCGCCGGUGAGACCCAGCUAGGUGGAUUGCGGCACCGCGGGCGGUGGAGAGGCACGAGCCAAAAGCCGGUCGGCGCGGAGCUGUGCGGCGCGCGCGGCUAGGGCGCCCUCCGGUGCAAGGCGCGGGCCCGCGAAGGGGCAGGCACGCGGACGUGCCUGCGCCCGCGGGUCCCCGCUCCCCCAAGUGCUGCGGGUCCGUCCGCACGGGAGCCGGCUCACCGGAGCCCGCGUUGAACGCAAGUUUCUUAACUACCAAGCGCCCUAAGACGUUAAGUGUGGUUCAUAGCGUAAAGCGAUGCAAGAAGUAGCUACGUUCUCGGCUCUAUAGGCAACGGCUCUCAGCAAGUCUGAGCUCGCCUCUAGCGCGCGCAGGGGGCGGAGGGCAGGGCGAGGCUCCCCCUGGCCUCCGCGCCCCGCUGCUAAGGGAGGUGCGUCGAGGAACCGUGCUAGGCACGACUGUCCCAAAAGGGCAGCCAUGCUGCGCUCUGCCGCCACGCAGGCGCGGCUGCGCUGCGAGAGCAUGCGUCACUGACAAGCGCCCAGCAAGAAGGCAAGCCAGAGCUGUUAC
Molecule: ribosomal RNA, 619 nt
Filed under: Medinilla longipedunculata
Lineage: Eukaryota; Viridiplantae; Streptophyta; Magnoliopsida; Myrtales; Melastomataceae
Description: eukaryotic LSU rRNA
Source: RNAcentral